This is a long non-coding RNA of Antechinus flavipes (yellow-footed antechinus), 3434 nucleotides long. RefSeq lists it as uncharacterized. NCBI's taxonomy places the organism in Eukaryota, Metazoa, Chordata, Mammalia, Dasyuromorphia, Dasyuridae. The transcript is spliced from 2 exons. The record is from RefSeq and is a predicted model, not a curated record.
AAAACAAAAACAAAAACAAACAACUGGAAAUUUGUGGCAGACCAUAAGUGACAGUAGCUGCAGUCUCCCUCCGCAGCAACCCUUCCGCUAUCUCCCCCUUUUUUCCCCUUCCUCUCCUUGUUCCAUCCUCCCCCUUCCAGGGUCUCUUCACCACCAACCAAGGGUAUCAUGAUAGAUCCCACCCCUGGAAGGCUCUCGUCCCUCCACUCAGCUACAGGGAAUAGGGGCAGUGAUCUUUCCUCCCCCACCUCCUCUAUUUCCUCCCCCACCUUCCCACUUUCCUCUGCACCCCCACUCCCCGCAAUGCGGGCGGUUCCCAUCUCAGAAAGAUCUGCAGCUUCUCCAACUCCUCCCUCUGCUUCCCCUCCCCACUUCCCUCUUCCCUCCAGUCUCCUUUCAGUCCAAGAGUCUGUUUGCACCGCCCCCAUUCGUAGUCCGGCGUGGGUGGACGCCACCCCUGGAAGACCCGAAGACCAGAAUACGCAGCAGAGCUUCACCGAUAACCAGUGCUGCAGCUUCCCUUCCUCUCUCCUUCUUCCCCUCCCCUUCCCCCUUUCCCUUUCCCUUCCCCUUUCCCCUCUCCCUUUCCUUUCCCUUUCCCCCUUUCUCUUCCCCUUCUCCUUUCCCGUCCCUGUCAUCCAUUUCCAUCCCCCAUAUCCUGCGUGGAUGGUUCCUACCCCUGAAAGACCGAAAGAUCAGAGUUCGCAACAGGGCUUCAGGGAGACUCGCCAUUGCAAUCUCCCUUUAUGGUCUUCUCCUUUCUCCCGCUCCUUUCCCAUCCCUUCCCCAGUCCUGUGUGGGCAGAUCCCCACCUCUGGAAGACCCUUCUCCCUCCGUUGAGAUACUAGGGCUCCCUCCUCCCUUCCUCACGUUCCUCUGAACCCCCUCUCCUACUACCCGCAGUAUUGGGGGACCUCGCCCCUGGCAAAGUCCCAGCCCCCAAGAGCUGCGGAUGCUGUGGUCCAACUUGCCCUCUUGGAGGGUAGCUCUUCCCCCUGGCUCCACCUUUCGCUUUUCUUUGGGCUGCUUCUAGGAGAAAAGACCUGGGACAGCGACCGGACUGGGCCGCUAUCGCUCCUGCGGAAAAGGCUGAACACCUGAAAGAUGCUCAUGGCCAGCCCUUUGUCAACCGGGGAGCCAGCGCCUUUUUCACCCUGGAGGAAUGGAGGUCACCCAUCCCCCUUGACGCCACCGUCUGUGAUCUGUUCUUUUUGGCCAGCCAUUCUGCUCAGAGCAAAGCAGAAGCUCCUUCCCUGAAGAUGGGCAUCCCGACCCACAGCAAACCUUCUUCUCACAAGCCCCAGCUCCCUUCUGCUGAUAGCACCCAAUCACCCAGAGGAGUCUCCCCAUACUUCGCUCUGGCUGCUCUCCUUGGCUCCUGACAUUCCAGGAUUUCUCCAUCCAGGUCUUCAUUCUGUGUCGUGGAAUUGUCUCCUGUGCCAGUGACUGCAGCAGCCUUCUCCCCAGCCUCUUGAUGGGGGCCAUCUUGUCUCUCUCCUUGUUCUUCUCUUUUUCUAUUUUCCUUAAGACUAUACUAAAGUUUCCUCCAUAAGACUAUGAGCAAUUUUGAUGACCAUGGGGGAAACAGCUUCUCUGUGUCCUUCAUAGAGUGACUCUUAAAGGAUUGUACAAAUGUUUAAAUUUCUAUUUCCUUCCUUCCUUCCUUCCCUCCUUACCGAGAGCUCCCAGAAGGCUCUACUACCCCUUUGUGUGUCUAGGAUUCCCUAUUUGUCUUUAGUAUCAAGUAUUCCCUAUAUAUGUCAUUUUAUCUAUUUUCCUUUCCAUUUAAUACAAUUCAGCAAGUAUUUAGUAAGUGCCUCCUAUGUGCCCAUUGCUAGUGUCACAGAGACAAAAACAGAUACCUACAUAGAAACCAGGAGUUGGUUCUUUUGCUUUCUCCUUCCUCUUUGUCCACCGAGAAAAUCUAUAGAGAAGGUUCAUUGAUCUGGAGUUGAGGGGAACCUUAUCGAGCCAUCUCUUCUAAAGCCCCACUCCCACCACCAGUUUUACAGAUGAGGAAUCUGAAGUGAUUACAUGACUUGCACAAAGUCAUGGGAAUACUUUCAAGGGACAGAGAUAAAAUUUGAAUCCAAGUCCUCUGAUUCUAAAGACAGUAUAAUUUCCCCAACCCAUUGGACUACAUUGGAUCUCCCUCUUUUUCUUUCCUUCCCAACAGUUGUUUAGGACAAAUACCUCAGAGAAAAGUGAGAGAAAAUGCAGAAGACAGCUUAGUUCUGGGCUUUGGGGAUAUAGUUCCCCCAACUCCUUCACUGACCUUUAAAAGAUCAUCCUCCCAUUCCAUUACACUCCCAGCUCUCAGUUCUGAUCCAAUACAUACAUUCCAUAUGUAUAUAAAACUCCUAAUUUUGCAAAGGAAGGGACCAACAAAAGGGACUUCAAAGGUUCCUCCCUCUCCCUCUGGUCUAGCCAUGACUACCUUCUGUCAAUACUGUGUUUUUCUCACUUAAGAAAAAAUACCUUAUAAUAUACCUUUUUUGCUAUUUCUUUGUAUCCUAGCAUUUAGUUUAGUGUAGUGUCUGAUAUACAGGGAGGCCUGAAUAAAUAUUUGCUGGUUGUAAUGGAAUCCCUAACACUUUCCUCUGAGCCAAAAGAGCUCAGUAGGGUCUGAUAGUUAAAAGGGCUAUAUUCCUUCUAGCUGUGAACCAUGUAGACUGGUUCCAGCUGGUUCCCCAGAGUUGGGUGGGAGAAGGGACCAUUUCCCCAUCUCCUACCCAGCCUCCAUGUGACCACAAGGUCACCCCUAUAUUUUUUGUGUGUUUGUGUAUCUUUCGUGUUUGUAGAUGAAUAAUUAUUCUGUAGUGCAUGUGACCAAGAUUAGUAGUGAAUUCCUGAAUUCCAAAAGAGCUGAAAAUCCUGUAGCCAAGCAAAUGCAUGACUACAGCAACUCCUGAGCAGCUGUGGUUGAUGGCAGAAGUUGUGUCUAUGUGACUGCUGAGGAGUAGUUGGACAAUACAAUUCGAGAUGAAAUUUAAACCAUGCAAAGCAAGUUUUGCAAAACUGCUUUAUUUUCCAAUGAAGUGUAAAUACUAGCUUUCCAGCUUCUUGUAAUGGUAGUUAAAAGUUAAAUUAUUGAAUCUUGUUAAUCCUGUUAACUGGUUUAAUUCUGUUAAGAUGAUGAAAAUUGUGAUUCUUUCAUGAUUAACAUUUAUUUCUGUAUAGAUGACAGCUACCUAUUCCUUACCUAUAAAAAACAUUCAGAAAAAAAAAAAAAAAACAGAACAGAAUUUAUCUAUGUCCAGGAAAUCUGGUUUUGUUUUGUUUUGUUUCUUAUUGAACUCUUUUGAUAUCUUUUGAAGGCAAUAUGAUUCUGAAUGAACACUUGUUUCUUCUCUCCCUAUAGAAUAUUGGCACUUCAUCAUUAUCCUGCUCUUCCUAAUUACUUAAAUAAAUAUACCUUUGUGUGUUUCUCUGGA